UGUGAAAAUAUGCACUCUGUGGAAGGCUC
Molecule: non-coding RNA, 29 nt
Filed under: Mus musculus (house mouse)
Lineage: Eukaryota; Metazoa; Chordata; Mammalia; Rodentia; Muridae
Source: RNAcentral